GACGUAGGGCGCGAGCGUUGUCCGGAAUUAUUGGGCGUAAAGAGCUUGUAGGCGGUUUGUCGCGUCUGCUGUGAAAUUUCGGGGUUCAACCCCGAACUUGCAGUGGGUACGGGCAGACUAGAGUGUGGUAGGGGAGACUGGAAUUCCUGGUGUAGCGGUGAAAUGCGCAGAUAUCAGGAGGAACACCGAUGGCGAAGGCAGGUCUCUGGGCCAUAACUGACGCUGAGAAGCGAAAGCAUGGGGAGCGAACAGG
Molecule: ribosomal RNA, 253 nt
Filed under: uncultured bacterium
Lineage: Bacteria
Description: partial 16S ribosomal RNA
Rfam family: Bacterial small subunit ribosomal RNA
Source: RNAcentral